AUCGCUUCUCGGCCUUUUGGCUAAGAUCAAGUGUAAACAUGCCAAUCAAAUCAACUUUCAAAAUUUCAGACUUUACUAUAAACUUUGUGAAAUUAUCAAUAUGCAUUUAUGUACUUAAAUUUAUGGCACUUUCUGAUAAUAUGGACUAUAUAAACAAAAAAAUGUCCAGUG
This 171-nucleotide small nuclear RNA is filed under the name Canis lupus familiaris (dog). Its description in RNAcentral is "U2 spliceosomal RNA (multiple genes)". The stretch from base 1 to 129 matches the Rfam family "U2 spliceosomal RNA". Rfam says of the family: U2 is a small nuclear RNA (snRNA) component of the spliceosome (involved in pre-mRNA splicing). Complementary binding between U2 snRNA (in an area lying towards the 5' end but 3' to hairpin I) and the branchpoint sequence (BPS) of the intron results the bulging out of an unpaired adenosine, on the BPS, which initiates a nucleophilic attack at the intronic 5' splice site, thus starting the first of two transesterification reactions that mediate splicing. RNAcentral also lists the same sequence under 1 other name. The record is from Rfam by way of RNAcentral. Lineage: Eukaryota; Metazoa; Chordata; Mammalia; Carnivora; Canidae.